AGUACUUAAAUGUUAUGAAUUGAAAGCCGCUCAGCAUACCCAAUCCAGAACGCCUCCCAUUUUGUGAGAAGUGAGAACUGAGAAUCCCACGCGCUCUACAGAAAAAUGGGGAAACCGUUGGGGACGACCGGGGAGUUCUUCAAGAGGAGGGACGAGUGGAGGAAGCAUCCGAUGCUCACCAAUCAGUUCCGCCGCGCAGUUCCUGGCCUUGGCAUUGGCUUAGUCGCCUUCGGCAUCUAUCUUGUUGGGGAACAAGUUUACAACAAGCUUUAUGCUCCUUCCUCUGGCCACCACGCCUCGUCGCCUUCUCAUUCUCACUGAUUGAAACAAUAUUUGUUUGAUUUGUGUUUCUCAGUUUUUCCUUCCUUCUCCCCAAGUAACGUUAUCAAUUAUAUGGACGAUUGGUGGCAUGUCAAAGAUGGAAGCAUCCUGCAUUAAAAUUUCCGCCUUGGUGAUUUGGAUCAAUAAGUUCUCAUGUCAUUGAGACUUAAGUCUCUGAUAAAUUUCUUCUUGUUUGUCUGGAUAUGGCACUUAUAUCUGAGAUGUUCUGUAGAUUUUUAGUUUGCUGCCUUGUAAUUUUGGUAACUUGGUAACCCUAUCUGCUUAUCAUGUUAAUGUUUUAGAUUUUGUGCCUGUUUAGCAUUA
This is an RNA transcript of Hevea brasiliensis (rubber tree), 645 nucleotides long. It is a transcript of the gene named NADH dehydrogenase [ubiquinone] 1 beta subcomplex subunit 3-B, with no coding region annotated. The record is from RefSeq and is a predicted model, not a curated record. Lineage: Eukaryota; Viridiplantae; Streptophyta; Magnoliopsida; Malpighiales; Euphorbiaceae. The transcript has 3 exons.